AGCAGCCGCGGUAAUUCCAGCUCCAAUAGCGUAUAUUAAGGUUGUUGCAGUUAAAAAGCUCGUAGUUGAAUUUCGGGAUCAAUACGUCGGUCGUGCUUCGGUACGUACUGGCGUAAUUGAUUUCUCCCUUCUGACGAACCAUGAUGUCAUUAACUUGGUGUCAUGGGAAAUCAGGACUGUUACUUUGAAAAAAUUAGAGUGUUUAAAGCAGGCUCACGCUUGAAUACAUUAACAUGGAAUAAUGAAAUAGGACGUUCAAUCCUAUUUUGUUGGUUUUUAGGAUCAACGUAAUGAUUAAUAGGGAUAGUUGGGGGCAUUAGUAUUCAAUUGUCAGAGGUGAAAUUCUUGGAUUUAUUGAAGACUAACUACUGCGAAAGCAUUUGCCAAGGAUGUUUUCAUUAAUCAAGAACGAAAGUUAGGGGAUCGAAGACGAUCAGAUACCGUCGUAGUCUUAACCAUAAACUAUGCCGACUAGGGAUCGGAUGAUGUUAAUUUUUAAUGACUCAUUCGGCGCCUUACG
Molecule: ribosomal RNA, 520 nt
Filed under: uncultured Glomus
Lineage: Eukaryota; Fungi; Glomeromycota; Glomeromycetes; Glomerales; Glomeraceae
Description: SSU rRNA
Rfam family: Eukaryotic small subunit ribosomal RNA
Source: RNAcentral